This 1204-nucleotide long non-coding RNA is filed under the name Phasianus colchicus (ring-necked pheasant). RNAcentral's name for it is "lncRNA (ENSPCLG00000002919.1)". Lineage: Eukaryota; Metazoa; Chordata; Aves; Galliformes; Phasianidae. The record is from RNAcentral.
AGGGACAGUGUGUAAGAGGAGGUACAGAAUGAAAGGAAAAGACUUUUCAUUAGCAGGCUGCAGAGAAAUGUAAUAAGAAGCAAGACUCUAGUGAUAAGUAGGAAAGCACAGAUGGAAGGAGGAAGAUAAAAUGUCUGAGGUAAGUUUAAGGGUUAUUAAGGUUAAUGAAUGCUAUCAUUUAAAUAAAGGAACAAGCUAUUUUGAAGGACGAUAUGAAAGGAAUCCCUGUUGCAGGUUAAGAAAGAUGACUUUCAGUACUGCAUUUUGAAUAGACUGCAUCUUGAAUGACCCUCAAACCAGGCACUGAAGCAAUUAAGAAAGGGAAAUAGUAGGGGAAAUCAACUAUGUCUUUGAUUAGCCGGCCACUGAGGUGAGGUUUGGUGGUAAGGAGGGCAUACUAUACAGAACUGCUGCAUGUUUUUACUUAUUAUUGAUUUUUUAAAUUAAAAUGACUGCUAAGUCACUUGGGAUUCAGAGAUGCAGUGGAAACUUUGGUAUGCACUGUUUCUGUCACAGGUCAAAAAGACCUUGCUGUCAUCUGCUCAUGGUGCACAGAUCAUAUUGCACAGAGGAGACAGGGGAACUGAAGAGGGGUAUCUGUGAGAGAGAGGAAUGCAAGAACACUCACUCAUCAUGUCUAAGCAAGGACAGCUUUCUGUGGAAGAUUAAAUGGAGCUGUACACAUGCUGCAGUUUUGAGAAAGGAUAGAAGGCAGAUCAGUCAGAAGGAGGACAUAUGCAGGGCAGACUUUGUGAAUGAGGUUGUGACCAUUUGGAGAAAUGGAUAACAGUAAGUAUUUCUAAUAUAUAGUGUGACACUUUCAGAAAUAAGAGUGGUAUUAGGAGGAGGGAAGGACAUCAAUGAUGGCAAGGAGAUUUUGAUAAUAAUAUGGUGUAUCAAGGGGAGGUGGUGGAUGAAGAUAGCAAGGAUGAAGCAGGGCAUGGUAAAGACUGGGACUCCUUGGACAAAGUAAUAGCUACCCAUGAGUGCAGAAAUGAGGAUUAGCAUGAAGAGCAGAGGGGAAGAUGGAAAUACUUGUAUUUUUGUGUUGUAGAUUUGAAAUAUUAACUUUAAGUAUUCUUUCUAAUUGAAACAAUCCUGUGCCAUUUACCAUUUACAUACUGUUGCAACAAGGCAACUGACCUUACUGUUAUUACUUUCUCAGCGUAAUAAAACAGAACGAGCUUGAAUUGGUAUUUUUGGA